UCCGGCGUGGUGUAAUUGGCAGCACAAGGGUUUUUGGUGCCCUUAGACAAGGUUCGAGUCCUUGCGCCGGAGCCA
This 75-nucleotide transfer RNA is filed under the name Actinomadura rudentiformis. RNAcentral describes it as "tRNA-Gln". It matches the Rfam family "tRNA". From Rfam's summary of the family: Transfer RNA (tRNA) molecules are approximately 80 nucleotides in length. Their secondary structure includes four short double-helical elements and three loops (D, anti-codon, and T loops). Lineage: Bacteria; Bacillati; Actinomycetota; Actinomycetes; Streptosporangiales; Thermomonosporaceae. The record is from RNAcentral.